Molecule: ribosomal RNA, 430 nt
Filed under: uncultured bacterium
Lineage: Bacteria
Description: bacterial SSU rRNA
Rfam family: Bacterial small subunit ribosomal RNA
Source: RNAcentral
CAAUGGGGCCUAGUAAAGUGGCGUACGGGUGAGUAACACGUGGAUCAUCUACCCUCCUGUGGGGGAUAACCCGGGGAAACCUGGGCUAAUACCGCAUAAUAUCUGCAAAGAUCAAAGGAGUAAUUCGCUGGAGGAUGAGUCCGCGGCUGAUUAGCUAGUUGGCGGGGUAAAGGCCCACCAAGGCUCUGAUCGGUAGCCGGUCUGAGAGGACGCACGGCCACACUGGAACUGAAACACGGUCCAGACUCCUACGGGAGGCAGCAGUGGGGAAUCUUGCACAAUGGGGGAAACCCUGAUGCAGCGACGCCGCGUGGGUGAUGAAGCUCUUCGGAGUGUAAAGCCCUUUCGGCAGGGAAGAGAUAAGACGGUACCUGCAAAAGAAGCCCCGGCUAACUACGUGCCAGCAGCCGCGGUAAUACGUAGGGGGCUA